This 73-nucleotide transfer RNA is filed under the name Ictidomys tridecemlineatus (thirteen-lined ground squirrel). Its description in RNAcentral is "Spermophilus tridecemlineatus (thirteen-lined ground squirrel) tRNA". It matches the Rfam family "tRNA". Rfam says of the family: Transfer RNA (tRNA) molecules are approximately 80 nucleotides in length. Their secondary structure includes four short double-helical elements and three loops (D, anti-codon, and T loops). Lineage: Eukaryota; Metazoa; Chordata; Mammalia; Rodentia; Sciuridae. The record is from Rfam by way of RNAcentral. RNAcentral also lists the same sequence under 1 other name.
GGGGAUAAAGCUCAGUUGGUAGAGUGCUUACCUUACAUAUACAAAACCCUGGGUUGGAUCCCCAGUAACCCCC